Molecule: small nuclear RNA, 103 nt
Organism: Dromiciops gliroides (monito del monte)
Lineage: Eukaryota; Metazoa; Chordata; Mammalia; Microbiotheria; Microbiotheriidae
Source: RefSeq, a predicted model, not a curated record
GUGCUUUGGCAGCACAUUUACUAAAAUUGGAACAAUGUAUAGAAGAUUAAUAUGGCUCCUGUGCAAGUAUGAUAUGAAAAUUCAUGAAGCAUUCUAUAUUAUA